This 626-nucleotide ribosomal RNA is filed under the name bacterium fme08x93np403. RNAcentral describes it as "bacterial SSU rRNA". It matches the Rfam family "Bacterial small subunit ribosomal RNA", at positions 48 to 655 of the family's 1533-position model. The record is from RNAcentral.
GCUACACAUGCAGUCGAGCGGAACGACACUAACAAUCCUUCGGGUGCGUUAAUGGGCGUCGAGCGGCGGACGGGUGAGUAAUGCCUAGGAAAUUGCCUUGAUGUGGGGGAUAACCAUUGGAAACGAUGGCUAAUACCGCAUAAUGCCUACGGGCCAAAGAGGGGGAUCUUCGGACCUCUCGCGUCAAGAUAUGCCUAGGUGGGAUUAGCUAGUUGGUGAGGUAAUGGCUCACCAAGGCGACGAUCCCUAGCUGGUCUGAGAGGAUGAUCAGCCACACUGGAACUGAGACACGGUCCAGACUCCUACGGGAGGCAGCAGUGGGGAAUAUUGCACAAUGGGCGAAAGCCUGAUGCAGCCAUGCCGCGUGUAUGAAGAAGGCCUUCGGGUUGUAAAGUACUUUCAGUUGUGAGGAAGGGUGUGUAGUUAAUAGCUGCGCAUCUUGACGUUAGCAACAGAAGAAGCACCGGCUAACUCCGUGCCAGCAGCCGCGGUAAUACGGAGGGUGCGAGCGUUAAUCGGAAUUACUGGGCGUAAAGCGCAUGCAGGUGGUUCAUUAAGUCAGAUGUGAAAGCCCGGGGCUCAACCUCGGAACUGCAUUUGAAACUGGUGAACUAGAGUGCUGUAGA